This is a long non-coding RNA of Crotalus tigris (Tiger rattlesnake), 712 nucleotides long. RefSeq lists it as uncharacterized. The transcript is spliced from 3 exons. The record is from RefSeq and is a predicted model, not a curated record. Lineage: Eukaryota; Metazoa; Chordata; Lepidosauria; Squamata; Viperidae.
AGCCAGUCCAAAAGCAGAGGGAAUGGUUCCCACCCCACCCAAUCGCUGCGGGGCUUAGUUUCCAAACACUCUCUACACAGGCUCUGGACAAAACUCUGGGACUGAAAAAGCAGCAAUGGGAGCAAAGAACUGUUCAAAGAAAGCAAGAAGGAGAAAGUGGGAAAAGUCACUACUGAACAGGCUUUCCCCAAGAAGACCAUGAGUGAAAUAAAGAAAGAAAUCCAUGAUGUUCCAUAUAUUGAUUGACUGUCUGCCAUCAAGUUGUUCGUGACUCCUGGCAACUACAUAGAUAGAUUUGCUUUAUGACAAUCUAACCUGGUCUUUCAAGUCUUCCGAUGAUGUACUCAUCAGUGCCGUAACUGAGUCUAUACAUCUUACAGCUGGCCAUCUAUCUUCUUUCCUUCCACUUUUCCCAGAAUUAAAGACUUUCCUAAAAAGCUACGUCUUCACAUAAUAUGUCUGAAAUAUGAUAUUUUGACUCUGGUCAUUAGUGCCAUGAGUGAGAACUCUGGAUUGAUUUGUUCAGUGAUCAAUUUGUUUGUUUGUUCAGAAGUAUCAAUAAUUGUCCUGGUUCUAACUCUUAGCAUUUCUAGCAAAUAGCCAUGCUGCUCCAAGCUACUAGGAGUAAAGUAUGCCAUGCCAACUGAAAAGGCCCACUUCUGUCCUAUUUUGGAACUUAAUUAAAUUGCCACUGGGUCUGUCCUUUACAGAA